GGGAGAGAACACAGGUUGAGCAGUUACUGCGCUACAUUGUUGAAGAGCCUUCUGAGGAUGCUGAUAGCAAACGGACAUUUAAGUUCCCUUUCAUUGCCUGUGAGAUAUUUACUUGUGAAAUUGAUGUCAUCCUUAAGACUUUAGUGGAUGACGAGGAGCUAAUGAAUUUGCUCUUCUCAUUUUUGGAGCCAAGUCGUCCCCAUAGUGCCCUGCUGGCUGGGUAUUUUAGUAAGGUGGUGAUAUGCCUUAUGGUGCGAAAGACUGCUGCACUUAUGAAUUAUGUUCAGGCCCAUCAUGAUGUUUUCCAACAGAUGGUGGAUUUGAUUGGUAUCACAUCCAUAAUGGAGGUUUUGGUGCGACUUGUAGGAGCUGAUGAUCAUAUGUACCCCACUACUAUGGAUGUGAUGCAAUGGUUGACUGAGAGCAAUUUAUUAGAAAUGAUCGUGGACAAAUUGAGUCCCUCUUGUUCUCCUGAAGUACAUGCUAAUGCAGCAGAAUCACUAUGUGCAAUAACCAGAAACACACCAUCCCCUUUGGCCACCAAACUAUCAAGCCCAAGUUUUGUAGCCAGGAUAUUU
Molecule: unclassified non-coding RNA, 578 nt
Filed under: Hevea brasiliensis (rubber tree)
Lineage: Eukaryota; Viridiplantae; Streptophyta; Magnoliopsida; Malpighiales; Euphorbiaceae
Source: RNAcentral